AUGGAUGUGUCUUGUUACCAGUCUGUGGAUAAUAGUUUUCUGCAAUAUUGGAAGACUUGUUAGAUAAAACAUUUUAGAUGAUCCAACUUAAUCACAAGUUCUUUCAGGUCAGUAAGUUGCCAAGUGAGACCACUACAGGAACAAUUUGAAGAAGUAUCACUUUUUUCAUUCCCUGCUGUACAUCACAGAGAUGCACCGGCG
Molecule: long non-coding RNA, 201 nt
Filed under: Elaeis guineensis (African oil palm)
Lineage: Eukaryota; Viridiplantae; Streptophyta; Magnoliopsida; Arecales; Arecaceae
Description: long non-coding RNA (EGUI_LNC022406)
Source: RNAcentral